Molecule: ribosomal RNA, 1410 nt
Filed under: Bifidobacterium pseudocatenulatum
Lineage: Bacteria; Bacillati; Actinomycetota; Actinomycetes; Bifidobacteriales; Bifidobacteriaceae
Description: bacterial SSU rRNA
Rfam family: Bacterial small subunit ribosomal RNA
Source: RNAcentral
UAAGUCCGACACUUUAGCCUACCUACGAGCGGACUCCAUCAGGCUUUGCUUGGUGGUGAGAGUGGCGAACGGGUGAGUAAUGCGUGACCGACCUGCCCCAUACACCGGAAUAGCUCCUGGAAACGGGUGGUAAUGCCGGAUGCUCCGACUCCUCGCAUGGGGUGUCGGGAAAGAUUUCAUCGGUAUGGGAUGGGGUCGCGUCCUAUCAGGUAGUCGGCGGGGUAACGGCCCACCGAGCCUACGACGGGUAGCCGGCCUGAGAGGGCGACCGGCCACAUUGGGACUGAGAUACGGCCCAGACUCCUACGGGAGGCAGCAGUGGGGAAUAUUGCACAAUGGGCGCAAGCCUGAUGCAGCGACGCCGCGUGCGGGAUGACGGCCUUCGGGUUGUAAACCGCUUUUGAUCGGGAGCAAGCCUUCGGGUGAGUGUACCUUUCGAAUAAGCACCGGCUAACUACGUGCCAGCAGCCGCGGUAAUACGUAGGGUGCAAGCGUUAUCCGGAAUUAUUGGGCGUAAAGGGCUCGUAGGCGGUUCGUCGCGUCCGGUGUGAAAGUCCAUCGCUUAACGGUGGAUCUGCGCCGGGUACGGGCGGGCUGGAGUGCGGUAGGGGAGACUGGAAUUCCCGGUGUAACGGUGGAAUGUGUAGAUAUCGGGAAGAACACCAAUGGCGAAGGCAGGUCUCUGGGCCGUUACUGACGCUGAGGAGCGAAAGCGUGGGGAGCGAACAGGAUUAGAUACCCUGGUAGUCCACGCCGUAAACGGUGGAUGCUGGAUGUGGGGCCCGUUCCACGGGUUCCGUGUCGGAGCUAACGCGUUAAGCAUCCCGCCUGGGGAGUACGGCCGCAAGGCUAAAACUCAAAGAAAUUGACGGGGGCCCGCACAAGCGGCGGAGCAUGCGGAUUAAUUCGAUGCAACGCGAAGAACCUUACCUGGGCUUGACAUGUUCCCGACAGCCGUAGAGAUAUGGCCUCCCUUCGGGGCGGGUUCACAGGUGGUGCAUGGUCGUCGUCAGCUCGUGUCGUGAGAUGUUGGGUUAAGUCCCGCAACGAGCGCAACCCUCGCCCUGUGUUGCCAGCACGUCAUGGUGGGAACUCACGGGGGACCGCCGGGGUCAACUCGGAGGAAGGUGGGGAUGACGUCAGAUCAUCAUGCCCCUUACGUCCAGGGCUUCACGCAUGCUACAAUGGCCGGUACAACGGGAUGCGACACGGCGACGUGGAGCGGAUCCCUGAAAACCGGUCUCAGUUCGGAUUGGAGUCUGCAACCCGACUCCAUGAAGGCGGAGUCGCUAGUAAUCGCGGAUCAGCAACGCCGCGGUGAAUGCGUUCCCGGGCCUUGUACACACCGCCCGUCAAGUCAUGAAAGUGGGUAGCACCCGAAGCCGGUGGCCUAACCCUUUGUGGGAGUGG